CCGAGUUAUUCAACUCAUCAACCCUGUGAACAUACCUAAACGUUGCUUCGGCGGGAACAGACGGCCCCGUGAAACGGGCCGCCCCCGCCAGAGGACCCCUAACUCUGUUUCUAUAAUGUUUCUUCUGAGUAAAACAAGCAAAUAAAUUAAAACUUUCAACAACGGAUCUCUUGGCUCUGGCAUCGAUGAAGAACGCAGCGAAAUGCGAUAAGUAAUGUGAAUUGCAGAAUUCAGUGAAUCAUCGAAUCUUUGAACGCACAUUGCGCCCGCCAGUAUUCUGGCGGGCAUGCCUGUUCGAGCGUCAUUACAACCCUCAGGCCCCCGGGCCUGGCGUUGGGGAUCGGCGGAGCCCCCCGUGGGCACACGCCGUCCCCCAAAUACAGUGGCGGUCCCGCCGCAGCUUCCAUCGCGUAGUAGCUAACACCUCGCGACUGGAGAGCGGCGCGGCCACGCCGUAAAACACCCAACUCUUCUGAAGUUGACCUCGAAUCAGGUAGGAAUACCCGCUGAACUUAAGCAUAUCA
RNAcentral lists this ribosomal RNA (524 nucleotides) under Fusarium solani. RNAcentral's name for it is "eukaryotic LSU rRNA". The stretch from base 151 to 304 matches the Rfam family "5.8S ribosomal RNA". The record is from RNAcentral. Lineage: Eukaryota; Fungi; Ascomycota; Sordariomycetes; Hypocreales; Nectriaceae.